UUGUUUUUGGGUUUCGAUAUACUUAGCACAAAUUUAAUGGUUUAUGGGGUGUACGGUGAUGUGUAAGGUUUCGAUUGACCUGGCAUAUAUUCCGAAGCAAAUGCAGGAUGACUUGGAAAGACGCGAGGGAUCCACUAUCUGAGAUAGGGGAACCGAGGAAAUAGAUAUUUGCAAUUUAGAUCAUCACCCGUGAUUCAUCAAGAUCAGUAGAAUCCAACUAUUCCGGCCGCCGGAAGUACGCCGCAUAAAACCGAAUAAUAUCCCACGGCAAGGGGCUUCACCAUGGGCUCAUCUACUCGACUCUUAUAAAUUCACAGUGAAGAAUAGCGACGAUGGAAUCAUCUUCAAUGAUUAAGAGUUGUGUAUCCUGCGCUGGAGAAGCUUGCACUUGGACCCCUUAUAAUCAUGAGUUUCAUUAAUUAGAAUUUUACACUUUUGAGAUGUUCAUAUACAGAAUUGAAGACUGGAAUGAAUAGUAUAGUAUAGGCCACCGGAAUGAACCACCUGCAGGCACCAGAACGUAGUCAAAUCUUAAAAGUUCAAGGACAGGAAACAACCUAUCGGUCCGUGUUUUAAGGGAGAAUUGGAACUUGUGAAAGAGACUAAUGUUUGGUGUUGAGGUUCGUAGAAUACCAUUCUUGAUACAUGGACUAGAAUUGCCAUUAUCACACUUUUUAAAGACGUGAAGGAGAAAAACAUAACUCCUCAGAUAUGGUGAUUACCAUUGAUGAUUGGUACACCCAAAAUCAUUCGGUUAGUAUUUGAUCUUAUUUUUAAUACAUAUUAGUAGGAAACUAGAAAUCUAAUAUUUGUUUCUAUGUCUUUUGUGUGACAAGGCAUUAAGAGCUUCUCUUGAUACUGAAAAAUAGCUGAGUAUGCUAGAUUGAGAAUGGCAAGGGAGUUAAUUUUGAUCUAGGUUGAAUGCCAUUGGUUUUUGCCUAUAAAUUUUUUUCCAUUGUUCCAGAUGGUAAUAACCAUGCAACCAUACUAUACUUGAUGUUGAUCCAGGUUAAAUGCCAAUGGUUUUGCUUCAUGAUUUUAUUUUUAUGAAAGAUGGGCGGGUCAGUAGCGGGUCAAAAAGAUUUUUGGUUGAAACAAGGCAUUUUUAAGUACAAGUAAGGAUGGUUGACCCGAAAAUGGCAUACACCUUUUUGUCCAUUUUUAAUUUUCUUUAUACAUAAUAAU
RNAcentral lists this long non-coding RNA (1185 nucleotides) under Helianthus annuus (common sunflower). RNAcentral describes it as "hypothetical non coding rna". Lineage: Eukaryota; Viridiplantae; Streptophyta; Magnoliopsida; Asterales; Asteraceae. The record is from RNAcentral.